This 440-nucleotide ribosomal RNA is filed under the name uncultured bacterium. Its description in RNAcentral is "partial 16S ribosomal RNA". It matches the Rfam family "Bacterial small subunit ribosomal RNA", at positions 338 to 795 of the family's 1533-position model. The record is from RNAcentral.
CCUACGGGAGGCUGCAGUGGGGGAUAUUGCACAAUGGGGGAAACCCUGAUGCAGCGACGCCGCGUGGGUGAAGAAGCGCCUCGGCGCGUAAAGCCCUGUCAGCAGGGAAGAAAAUGACGGUACCUGAAGAAGAAGCCCCGGCUAACUACGUGCCAGCAGCCGCGGUAAUACGUAGGGGGCAAGCGGUAUCCGGAUUUACUGGGUGGAAAGGGGGCGCAGACGGCGAUGCAAGCCAGGAGUGAAAGCCCGGGGCCCAACCCCGGGACUGCUCUUGGAACUGCGUGGCUGGAGUGCAGGAGGGGCAGGCGGAAGUCCUGGGGUAGCGGUGAAAUGCGUAGAUAUCAGGAGGAACACCGGUGGCGAAGGCGGCCUGCUGGACUGCAACUGACGUUGAGGCCCGAAAGCGUGGGGAGCAAACAGGAUUAGAUACCCUGGUAGUC